AGCUUACUGAAAUUAUGUUGUGUGUUUUCUCUCAGAGUUUCAAGAAGUUUUUAACAGAAAUGUCAUGAUUGUUGCUGCAACAAAUAGACCUGAUGUAUUAGAUGAUGCCUUGUUACGACCUGGAAGAUUAGAUAAGAUUAUUUAUAUUCCACCUCCAGAUGAAAAGGGCAGGCCUUUCUAUUUUGAAAGUCUGUACAAAAAAUAUGCCAAUGGGGCCUGAUGUUUCCUUAGAAAACAUAGCAGCAGAAACCUGUUUUUUCUCUGGUGCUGAUCUGGAAAUCUUUGCAAAGAAGCUGCCUUGCUGGCUCUGCAAGAAAAUGGAUUAGAAGCAACCACAGUGAAACAAGAGCACUUUCUAAAAUCACUUAAGACUGUGAAACCAUCCUUAAGUCCUGAGGACUUGACUUUGUAUGAAAACUUAUUUCAGAAACAAGGAUUUUCUAACUUAGAAGAUAUUUAAAAUUAAUGUUACAUCUCUGCUCACAGAUUAAUUGAACUGUUAAAUUGCCCUAUAGUUUUUGCAAUUUUGCACUUUUAGAGUUUGUGUGUUAUUUCCUGUAAAUAAAAGAAUUUGUACCAGAUAAGCUAAAGC
RNAcentral lists this long non-coding RNA (592 nucleotides) under Canis lupus dingo (dingo). RNAcentral's name for it is "lncRNA (ENSCAFG00020007806.1)". The record is from RNAcentral. Lineage: Eukaryota; Metazoa; Chordata; Mammalia; Carnivora; Canidae.